UAAGGAAUAUUGCUCAAUGGGAGAAAUCCUGAAGCAGCAACGCCGCGUGGAGGAUGAAGGGUCUAUGACUUGUAAACUCCUGUAAAGAAGGAAAAAAUUCCCAUUAGAUGGGAGAUGAUGGUACUUCUGGAGUAAGCCCCGGCUAACUACGUGCCAGCAGCCGCGGUAAUACGUAGGGGGCAAGCGUUGUCCGGAUUUACUGGGUGUAAAGGGUGCUCAGGCGGAUUUGUAAGUCAGAGGUGAAAUCUUACAGCUUAACUGUGAAACUGCCUUUGAUACUGCAAGCCUAGAGUAUGGAAGAGAGUGAUAGAAUAUCUGGUGUAGCAGUGAAAUGCGUAGAUAUCAGAUAGAACACCAAUGGCGAAGGCAGUCACUUGGUCCAUUACUGACGCUAAAGUACGAAAGCGUGGGUAGCAAACA
RNAcentral lists this ribosomal RNA (420 nucleotides) under uncultured bacterium. RNAcentral describes it as "bacterial SSU rRNA". It matches the Rfam family "Bacterial small subunit ribosomal RNA", at positions 355 to 774 of the family's 1533-position model. The record is from RNAcentral.